RNAcentral lists this ribosomal RNA (253 nucleotides) under uncultured bacterium. RNAcentral's name for it is "partial 16S ribosomal RNA". It matches the Rfam family "Bacterial small subunit ribosomal RNA", at positions 524 to 776 of the family's 1533-position model. The record is from RNAcentral.
UACGGAGGGUGCGAGCGUUGUUCGGAAUCACUGGGCGUAAAGGGCGCGUAGGCGGCCCUCCUUGUCGCGUGUGAAAGCCCCGGGCUCAACCUGGGAACGGCGCGCGAGACGGGGGGGCUGGAGUUCGGGAGAGGAGCGUGGAAUUCCCAGUGUAGAGGUGAAAUUCGUAGAUAUUGGGAAGAACACCGGUGGCGAAGGCGGCGCUCUGGACCGAGACUGACGCUGAGGCGCGAAAGCGUGGGGAGCAAACAGG